RNAcentral lists this small nucleolar RNA (131 nucleotides) under Drosophila ananassae. Its description in RNAcentral is "snoRNA:GF26150". Lineage: Eukaryota; Metazoa; Arthropoda; Insecta; Diptera; Drosophilidae. The record is from RNAcentral.
CUGGAGUCAAAGUGGCAUAUUUGCGCAUUAUCCUCUCAUCUGUGUCUCAAAAACUCCCAGAUUAAGUUUCUAGACGAACGGCAUCCUGAAUAAUCCCCAUAUUAUAUCAGAUGACUUGUGUUCGACUACAA